Molecule: ribosomal RNA, 454 nt
Filed under: uncultured bacterium
Lineage: Bacteria
Description: bacterial SSU rRNA
Rfam family: Bacterial small subunit ribosomal RNA
Source: RNAcentral
AGUUUGAUCAGUGGCUCAGAGCGAACGCUGGCGGCAUGCUUAACACAUGCAAGUCGCGCGGUCAGCAAUGGCAGCGGCGGACGGGUGAGUAACGCGUAGGAACGUAUCCUGAGGUGGGGGACAACCCUGGGAAACUGGGGCUAAUACCGCAUAUGGGCUGAGGCCCAAAGCAGCAAUGCGCCUUUGGAGCGGCCUGCGUCCGAUUAGGUAGUUGGUGGGGUAAAGGCCUACCAAGCCUGCGAUCGGUAGCUGGUCUGAGAGGACGAUCAGCCACACUGGGACUGAGACACCGGCCCAGACUCCUACGGGAGGCAGCAGGUGGGGAAUAUUGGACAAUGGGGGCAACCCUGAUCCAGCAAUGCCGCGUGUGUGAAGAAGGUCUUCGGAUCGUAAAGCACUUUCGACAGGGACGAUGAUGACGGUACCUGUAGAAGAAGCCCCGGCUAACUUCGUG